Molecule: ribosomal RNA, 210 nt
Filed under: uncultured Tricholomataceae
Lineage: Eukaryota; Fungi; Basidiomycota; Agaricomycetes; Agaricales; Tricholomataceae
Description: partial large subunit ribosomal RNA
Rfam family: Eukaryotic large subunit ribosomal RNA
Source: RNAcentral
AUAUCAAUAAGCGGAGGAAAAGAAACUAACAAGGAUUCCCCUAGUAACUGCGAGUGAAGCGGGAAGAGCUCAAAUUUAAAAUCUGGCGGUCUCCGGCUGUCCGAGUUGUAAUCUAGAGAAGUGUUACUCGCGCUGGACCGUGUAACAGUCUCCUGGAAUGGAGCUCAUAGAGGGUGAGAAUCCCGUCUUUGACUGAGUGCCUGCUACUAU